UACUACAGAGAUGACGAAGCACCA
RNAcentral lists this non-coding RNA (24 nucleotides) under Rattus norvegicus (Norway rat). The record is from RNAcentral. Lineage: Eukaryota; Metazoa; Chordata; Mammalia; Rodentia; Muridae.